AGCAUGGUCUUAGCUUGCUAAGGCCGAUGGCGACCGGCGCACGGGUGAGUAACACGUAUCCAACCUGCCGUCUACUCUUGGACAGCCUUCUGAAAGGAAGAUUAAUACAAGAUGGCAUCAUGAGUCCACAUGUUCACAUGAUUAAAGGUAUUCCGGUAGACGAUGGGGAUGCGUUCCAUUAGAUAGUAGGCGGGGUAACGGCCCACCUAGUCUUCGAUGGAUAGGGGUUCUGAGAGGAAGGUCCCCCACAUUGGAACUGAGACACGGUCCAAACUCCUACGGGAGGCAGCAGUGAGGAAUAUUGGUCAAUGGGCGAGAGCCUGAACCAGCCAAGUAGCGUGAAGGAUGACUGCCCUAUGGGUUGUAAACUUCUUUUAUAAAGGAAUAAAGUCGGGUAUGGAUACCCGUUUGCAUGUACUUUAUGAAUAAGGAUCGGCUAACUCCGUGCCAGCAGCCGCGGUAAUACGGAGGAUCCGAGCGUUAUCCGGAUUUAUUGGGUUUAAAGGGAGCGUAGAUGGAUGUUUAAGUCAGUUGUGAAAGUUUGCGGCUCAACCGUAAAAUUGCAGUUGAUACUGGAUAUCUUGAGUGCAGUUGAGGCGGGCGGAAUUCGUGGUGUAGCGGUGAAAUGCUUAGAUAUCACGAAGAACUCCGAUUGCGAAGGCAGCCUGCUAAGCUGCAACUGACAUU
Molecule: ribosomal RNA, 687 nt
Filed under: uncultured Bacteroidales bacterium
Lineage: Bacteria; Pseudomonadati; Bacteroidota; Bacteroidia; Bacteroidales
Description: bacterial SSU rRNA
Rfam family: Bacterial small subunit ribosomal RNA
Source: RNAcentral